Molecule: ribosomal RNA, 903 nt
Filed under: uncultured bacterium
Lineage: Bacteria
Description: bacterial SSU rRNA
Rfam family: Bacterial small subunit ribosomal RNA
Source: RNAcentral
GAUGGCGACCGGCGCACGGGUGCGCAACGCGUAUGGAACCUGCCUUUGCCAGGGGAAUAGCCCAGGGAAACUUGGAUUAAUGCCCCAUUGUACCCGGGGGUCGCAUGAUUUCCGGGUUAAAGAUUUAUCGGGCGAAGAUGGCCAUGCGUACCAUUAGCCUGUUGGUAGGGUAACGGCCUACCAAAGCUACGAUGGUUAGGGGCCCUGAGAGGGGGAUCCCCCACACUGGUACUGAGACACGGACCAGACUCCUACGGGAGGCAGCAGUGAGGAAUAUUGGACAAUGGGCGGAGGCCUGAUCCAGCCAUGCCGCGUGCAGGAAGAAUGCCCUAUGGGUAGUAAACUGCUUUUGUACGGGAAGACACCCGCCUACGUGUAGGCGUUCGACGGUACCGUAAGAAUAAGGACCGGCUAACUCCGUGCCAGCAGCCGCGGUAAUACGGAGGGUCCGAGCGUUAUCCGGAAUUAUUGGGUUUAAAGGGUCCGUAGGCGGGCCGUUAAGUCAGGGGUGAAAGUCCGCGGCUCAACCGUGGGACCGCCCUUGAUACUGAUGGUCUUGAGUAAUCGUGGAGCAGGCGGAAUAUGUAGUGUAGCGGUGAAAUGCAUAGAUAUUACAUAGAACACCUAUCGCGAAGGCAGCUUGCUAACGAUUCACUGACGCUGAUGGACGAAAGCGUGGGGAGCGAACAGGAUUAGAUACCCUGGUAGUCCACGCCGUAAACGAUGGAUACUAGCUGUGCGGUCCCUUUGGGACUGUGCGGCCAAGCGAAAGUGAUAAGUAUCCCAUCUGGGGAGUACGUUCGCAAGAAUGAAACUCAAAGGAAUUGACGGGGGCCCGCACAAGCGGUGGAGCAUGUGGUUUAAUUCGAUGAUACGCGAGGAACCUUACCAGGGCUUGAAUGC